UCAGAUUUCACGUAAUUAAACAUAUAAGCUUUCCGGCUAUGCACCCGGACAUCGCACGUAAAUUGAUGAAACUAAAAGUAAGGUUUUCAAGGCCUCGAAAGCACGAAAAAGAUAGAAAAACACACAAAAGGAAAGGAGAUGGACCUGAAUUAUAGCUCUCCAAUUAAUAUAAUUUCAGCAGUAGUAACUCUGAAUCGAGCGGGUUCGAAAUAAAGAAAACCAACAGAAUCAUCAAACAUAGACAACGAGCUUAAGUCUUCUAUUUCAAAGCUCGAACAACAGACAAUGACUUAAACCAAAACGCGACGCAACUGGAACCUUGGAUGACCGCGAUCGAUUAAAGGACUGACCGAACCUAGCCGGAUUUUUGGAACUCGAACUUUGAUUGUGAUUGCGUAGCGAUGGUAUUGAACAUCAAUCCUAGCUAAUUCAAAACAUGAUAAAGAAGAAGAUGAUUGACAGGGUCGUUUUUAGUUGCUGCUGUGAGAAGACAAAGUCAAAAAGGGUGGGGCGCGUGCAUUUUUCCGGCGAGUUUAACCGCUGGCGGGGCAGAUUCAGAUGGUGGGCGUUGUUAUGGCUGCUGGAGAGCCUACGGCGCCAUUGGAGGUAAAGCAGCUGCGACGUAUGGCGUUUUGGACGAAGGGGGUUGCUCGUUGAUGGGAUCUGCGUUAGAUUUGUGUUCUAGGGUCUUUGGUUGUGUCUUGGUUGAAGGUCAAAAAUGGCAGCCAUUUUUUUUCAAGUUGUCUUCUUAAGGUUUUUUGUGUGAUGUGUAGGUUGAAGAAGAAAAAGAUGAUGAAAAAAGGGUUACUAGGGUUAAGGAGAAGUCUUGAAAUUGGGCCUUGUUGGGGGGUUUGAAAUUGGGCUCCAUUUAGACAAGAAAAUUGAAGACUUUAUUGAUAAAUUCAAGUUUCUUUCAAAUUGGUAUAAAAAACUUGUAAAACAUAAUAUCAUUCCUAAUUGAUUAAGUAAAAUAUAAAAUUAAAAGUGAAGCUAUUUUUUGCAUUUUCAAAUAUUAU
This 1016-nucleotide long non-coding RNA is filed under the name Nicotiana benthamiana. RNAcentral's name for it is "long non-coding RNA (NBEN_LNC007840)". The record is from RNAcentral. Lineage: Eukaryota; Viridiplantae; Streptophyta; Magnoliopsida; Solanales; Solanaceae.